UAGUAGGCAGACGAGAGAGCGAGCGAGAGAGAGAGAGAGAGAGAGAGAUAGAGAGAGAGACUUUAGAGUCUUAUCACUCCCGUGGAUUUGCAGCUUUGCAGCUGAGCUCACCAGAAGAUCAUCAUCUCAGGAGUGAGAAUGAGAGAAAGAAGAGGAGGAGAGAACAAAUGACAGCAGUAAAUUUGACUGUGGUGGAAGAACGAGUAAAGAACCUCAAGAGACGCAGAGCGAGAGAGGGAGAGGGAGAGAGAGAGAGAGAGAGAGAGAGAGUGGUGGAAUAUGCUGAACCUGAUGAAAAGCGCUGGACCGUCCUAACAUCCCCUCACUCCCUCGCUUCCUCCCUCCUCUUCUAGCCGGCUUCUUUGUCACUGACCCUGAUCAAGAUUCUCUCAGUGUGUGUGCUGUGUGAAGUGUCUCCGCAGCGCUCGCACUUGCACUCACGCUCAGCCGAACACAUUCACACGCACAUGUUCACACACACACACACACACACACACACACACACACACACACACACACACACACACAAAGAAGAGGAGGAGGAGGACGGCUCAGGAUUAAGGCAGGACUAACUUUCCGCUUCUCUGAGAUGGACUGAAGUGAGUGUACGCUGUCCUGCACACUCGUACAAGACGCGCAACUCCUCCAGAUCUCCACAGCGUCCUCGUCCUCGUCCUCACUGGCCGUCAUGCAGGUGUCCAUCGCCUGCACCGAGCACAAUCUGAAGGGCCGGAAUGGAGAACACGGCAAGCAGAGUGCCACCAGUCCUAACGUGGUGAACGCAGCUCGCGCCAAAUUUCGCACCGUGGCCAUCAUCGCGCGUAGCUUCGGCUCCUUCACCCCACGUCACCACAUCUCUCUCAAAGAGUCCACCGGAAAACACACGGGAAUGAAGUACCGGAACCUUGGGAAGUCUGGAUUACGAGUAUCGUGUCUGGGUCUUGGAACCUGGGUGACGUUUGGAGGACAGAUUUCUGAUGAGGUAGCAGAGCAGCUGAUGACCAUUGCCUAUGAGAGCGGUGUGAAUCUGUUUGACACAGCUGAGGUUUACGCUGCAGGAAAAGCUGAAGUCAUCCUGGGAAACAUUAUCAAGAAAAAGAGCUGGAGGAGAUCCAGUUUAGUGAUUACAACAAAGCUCUACUGGGGAGGAAAAGCCGAGACUGAAAGAGGUCUUUCCAGAAAGCAUAUAAUAGAAGGUCUUAAAGGUUCCCUACAGAGGAUGCAGCUGGAAUACGUAGACGUGGUCUUCGCCAACCGUCCUGACAGCAACACGCCGAUGGAGGAGAUCGUGAGGGCGAUGACACAUGUGAUCAACCAGGGGAUGGCUAUGUACUGGGGGACGUCCCGAUGGACAGCCAUGGAGAUUAUGGAAGCGUACUCAGUGGCAAGGCAGUUUAACCUCAUCCCCCCAGUGUGCGAACAGGCCGAGUAUCACCUCUUUCAGAGGGAGAAAGUGGAGGUGCAGUUGCCCGAGCUCUACCACAAGAUAGGCGUAGGAGCCAUGACAUGGUCGCCCCUCGCCUGUGGAAUCAUCACCGGAAAGUAUGAAAAUGGCAUCCCAGAAUCCUCCAGAGCUUCAAUGAAGUCAUACCAGUGGCUGAAGGAGAAGAUCUUCAGUGAGGAUGGGAGGAAGCAGCAGGCUAAGCUGAAGGAGUUAUCUCACAUCGCUGAGAGGCUCGGCUGCACUCUGCCACAGCUGGCUCCUGGUGUCUGAGGAACGAAGGAGUGAGUUCGGUUCUUUUAGGAACUUCUAACCCAGAACAGCUAACAGAAAACCUGGGAGCCAUUCAGGUUCUACCCAAGAUGACGUCCCAUAUAGUGACCGAGAUUGACCACAUACUUGGAAACAGGCCGUACACUAAGAAGGACUAUCGCUCGUAGGGGUUUGGGUUACAUCAUCCUGGUGCAUUUCCUGAAUCUGAACACCUCUCUCCUCCUCCUCCUUCUCCUCCUUCUCAUCUUCCUGGGUUUGCUCUGUCAAAGGGAUCUGUGAGAGAGCCUCGCCUCGCCUUGCCUCGCUUCGUCUAGCCUCGCUCGUGUCCUGUUUGUGCAUGCCCCCCAGUGCCCCUUACUAAUUCAACAGCUACACAUCACCAUGAUGUCAAACACCGUCUGUGGAAUAAAUACAUAAAUACGCACAAAAUCACAAAUCUUCACGAAGCAAGCGAACGUCGUGCUCCGAGAGCCGCACCGCCGACACCCUACUCCGACCUUCGGAAUUGUCCCCGAUCCUCACGUGUCUUCUGCUCGGUGGGCUUUGAGCCAAGGGAUGUACUGGAGACCUGGAGAUUGUAGAGGCUGGAAGUGUGGAGCAUGUCUGACUCUGCUGUUAGGAACGGGAGAACUUCAGCCUGGCUUUCGCUCAGCUGAAGAGGAACAAGGUGUCCCGUUCCAUGCAUCCGUACCCGGUCUUUACCUGCUUAACGAAAGCUCGCAUUAGUAAUUUGCAUCUGAUUAAAGAAAGCCUGUUCCCUU
Tachysurus fulvidraco (yellow catfish) is the source of this 2475-nucleotide RNA transcript. It is a transcript of the gene named potassium voltage-gated channel subfamily A regulatory beta subunit 1a, with no coding region annotated. The record is from RefSeq and is a predicted model, not a curated record. The transcript is spliced from 14 exons. Lineage: Eukaryota; Metazoa; Chordata; Actinopteri; Siluriformes; Bagridae.